Long non-coding RNA from Hemicordylus capensis (graceful crag lizard), 5166 nucleotides. RefSeq lists it as uncharacterized. The record is from RefSeq and is a predicted model, not a curated record. Lineage: Eukaryota; Metazoa; Chordata; Lepidosauria; Squamata; Cordylidae. The transcript has 5 exons.
CCUAGAUCGGAGCAGCCUGCAAACUGCAGAGCUCUUCUCUCCCCGCCUCGCAGCUGAUCGGUGGGUGGGCGGGGCUUCCAGAGAGGCCUCCUCCGAGUAGGCCUCCCUGAAGCCUGAACUCAAGUAGGCCCCAGCAAGCCAGGAAGGAGGCUGGCAGAGCUCCCGGCAGCAGACCCGACCAUCCAGCACAGCCCUUGCAGCAGCUGACAAGGUCACAGAAGCAGGUCUCUUUCAACCCUGCGAGCUGAAAUAAGGAAAGGGGUCAGGUACUCAACCUGGAAUUUUCUACAUGGAAAACAUAUGCUCUGCCACUGUGCUUGGGAACGUACAGAAGGAUUGUGGGGAUCCAACAGAGAAUAGGCAUCAGCAGUUAAUCGAUAUAAGAAAUCCCAUACUAAGAAGGUGUUUUUUGCAGGCGUGUUGGACCCAGGAAAGCAAUUCCUUUUUGCUAUCUUGAAUUCACAGCAAAGGUCAUUAAGAGUUGAAUAGGUGAGAGCACGAGUUCAUUGUGUAAUAGGGCCUAGUCACAGUGAAAAAGAGAGAGGUUGCUUUCCCUCCUCAGUGUUUUUUCUGGAGUUGUGGGGACUGAAUCUUCUUGUGUUUGAGUAGCACAAUUUGCGCGUUGCUGUUUUCCAGACGGCAGAUAGCUGUGGUUCCAGGAACUGUAAAACCAGCCGCCGGCAGACGGUCAGAUCAUUCACACCAUGUCCUUGGACACAAAACAGUCCAUUGCAAUAAAUUCGAAACUGUUUUGUGAAAAUGAAGUACUAACAAUAGUCUCUUGUUACAUCCCCUUUAAAAUGUUACCAUAAAUCAGUGAAGUUCUUGGUUUUGUUUUUUGUUUUUAAAAACCACCAUCAGGGAUUUGUAAAGCAGACGUAAAACAAGGAUCUUAAGGAUAGAGAAAGAAUGGUCAUGCUUCAUAUACAAAAUGAGGUUCUUCAUAGCACCUUGCAUUGGGAUUUUUCUCCUGGAUACCUUUUGCUUACAUUUCACUUUUAAUCAAGAUAGUCGAGUGUAACCUGAAAUAAGACCUUUCUCUCUUGCUAAACUUAAUGAUCCUUUUAAUAUCAGUACAGUUGGAUUUCUUCUAGCUAUCUCCUGUGUCCCUUCAGCCUUGGAGCAUUAAACAUGUGAUUAAAAAAGACUUUUUGGCAUGGUUCACAAAUUAACCAAAAGGCGCAGUGAAGCUGUAUAUUCACCCAGCAUGAAAUAAAAAAGCUAAUCAAAGCAGAUUAUAUUAGAUUAGUUUAACCAGGUAAACAAUUAGCUAAAUUAAUGUUAUCUGCAACAUAGUCUUUCAACAUGAACAGCUGAAAACAGAAUUUUCUUUGCUCCAACUUGUGAUUUUGCUAUUACACAUAUUAUUUGUUCCUUUUAAAAAACAAACAAACACCUUUUUAUAGACAUUUUCAACAUAAAGCAUUUUUGUAAUAAGAAUGUCAAUUGUUCUGAAACUUACUGCAUAUUUGGGGCUGACCUGGAUUUCAUUCAGGCAAGAUCUGUAGUCAGAACAAUUGAAGCAUUCAGAUGUUCCCUUCCUCAAUGAAAUUUAAAUACUGCUUUCAUGAGGGGAGAAAAAAACAUGUUGACCUUCAACAAUGAUUCUUCCCCCCAAUCUUUGUUCUCUGUAUUCAACUCCGAAUGUAAGUUUGCUUUCACCCCAUAAUAUAGAUUUUUGUAUUCAAUAACAAUGCUUCAUACUGCAGAAAUCUAUAGGAAAGCAUUGUUGCCCUCUUUCCCCCCUCCCCUCCCCCCAGUUCAUUCUGAGCAUUUUAUUUGUUUCAGAAGUUAUUUCCACAAACCUCUCUUUUGAAAGGAAGUUUCACACUAAUGGCAGACUUGUAGAGUACAUGUUUGAACCUGAAAACAUUCUGGAAGAUCAUAUGGGAACCUUGCAUUGCUAUUGUAGUCUUUCAAGCAAGCUUUGGGGGCUUAUUGUUCCUUUGCAUGCUACUCCUAAUCAUGUGGCGAGGUGCAUGGGCAAGGCAUGUUGGUUUUCUUAAAACAACAACAACAACAAAAAACCCCAAGACCCUGUCCAUGAUAUAGCACACAGACAAAGGAAGCUCAAGGGUGAAUGUGAAGUUGCUUACAAGAAAGAAGAUUUAAGCCAUGCAGAACAUCCAUCUGUGCUGUUAAGGAAUUAAGAAUGACAUUCAUUCAUUCAUUCAUUCAUUCAUUCAUUCUCUCUCUCUCUCUCUCUCAUGUUUAUAUACCACCUGAUAUGUGUAUCUCUUGGCAGUGUACACAGUUUAAAACAACACAUAUAAAAGAGAGUAAAAGCAAUUUUCACAGAAUCAAAAACUAAAACAAUUAACAGUUUAAAAUUAGUUUCAGUUAAAAGCCUGAGAAAACAGGUGUGUUUUGAGAGCCUUUCUAAAAGCAGUCAGAGAUGGAGAUGCUCUUAUUUUGACAGGAUGCAUAUUCCAAAGCCCCAAGGCAGCCACAGAGAGGCCUGGUCCCAAGUCGCCACCAAAUUUGCUGUUGGCAACCAUAACCGGACCUCCCCAGAUUAUCUUAAUAGGUAGCAGGGUUCAUGACAAUGGAGGAACUCUCUUAAGUAUCCGACCCAAGCCAUUGAGGGCUUUAUAAGUAAUAACCAGCACUUAUUUCACUCGGAAACAUAGCAGCAACCAGUGCAAUUCUUUUAAAAUCAGUGUUAUAUGUUCCCUUCGGGUUGUCCCAGAGACCAGUCCGGCUGCCGCAUUUUGUACCAAUUGUAGUUUCUGGACUAUGUACAAAGGCAGCCGCAUGUAGAAUGCAAGAUCUCUGAGCUAAAAGAGAGACUACAGCUAAUUCCCUCAUACUCAAAUCUUUUUUCCAAUGAGAAUAGAUAACAGCCAUGUGGACAAAACAUCAAAAGUUAAGUUCAUGCAAGCUGUUUUUGGAAGAUUUGUUACAGGGUUAUAUGUUGUAUUGCUACAAACAUGGAACAACUAGCAUAUGUCUAUAUCCUGGUUUCUUAAAAAGUACUAUUAUAGUAUGCAUGGAUGGUUUGAUGGAUAUGUUUCUUUUAGUAUUAGGUGUACGAGCUUGUAGACAAAGGAGAAGUGGGUAUUUCUGUAUGAAGUUGUGUCAAAUGUUAUAGACUGUAAAAAUAAAUGUGCCUUAUAUUUUUAUAUUGCUGUGCUAAGGGUUGGUAGUGGUAAUUUAUGUACACUAUCAGAAGCUGUUUUAUAUGUAUCAAAGAAAUAUUUUAUGUAUACUUACUCAUUUAGAUCAUUUAUCAUUAUCAUCUCUUGUAGAGAUGUUGGAAACCAUAUUAACCAGGGAUAACAUACCUGGUUUCAUAUGACAGGCACUAUUUUAAGAACCACAAUUGUUCUUCUAUAGUAGUUAGGCCACUGAAGAAGGCCCUUUGGAGGCGGACUUAUAUGGUUAUAUUGGAUAUGGAAGGAUACUUCUCUAAUUAUUCACUUUCUGGUGUUCAGAGACGUCUUACACUCCUACUACUUAGAAGCUUUUAAAGACCCAUGCAUACUUUUAAAUCAUAACUUCUCAGACCACUACAUCGUGAUGAGUUCUUCUUUGGACUAUAUGAAAUAGAUUUGGGCAUCAUCAGCAUAUUGAUUACACCCUGCACCAUACCUCCUGAUGCUCUCUCCAAGCAGUUUCAUGCAGAUGUUAAGGAGCAUUGGAGAUACCAGUAAGAACUUCCAGCAUCAUCAAAUUCGUAUAAGGAUCUACACAACGAGGAUUUUUAAAGUUUGAUUGAUCUUUACCAGUCUGAUUCUAAUUCAUCAUCUCUACCAGUCUAAUUCACCAUCUCUACCAGUCUGAUUCUAAUUCAUGUAAAACAAUAAUGUAAAGAAUUGAAACUUCAAAAAUUACAGAUGUAUACACCACUAAAUGCUAGUAGAAAUUAAUCAGCAUUCUCAAUGGGGGCUAGUCUGAAAAUUUGAAGCAGCUGUUUAUUUCAUUACCAGUAUCUGAAAGAUUCUUUUCCAUGCAGUUCUAAACACUUAUUCAUCAUUCAGAUGGAUGUUUAAAGGCAAAUACAUAUAGAAAGACAGUUUGGAAUUUACUAAAACUGAUUAAUAGCUCUGUGUAGCUCAUGGAUGGCUAAAGUUAUGAAUGCCUCUUGGGCAAAGUGAGAUUCAGUGGAGCAUAUCAUGUAAAAUGUGCAACUCUUUCUUUCACAUUACUUCUUGUAUUUAUUCUUUGGUGUUUUGAUUUAUCCUUUGUGGUUGCCAAUGUGAUUUCUAAUUAAAAUAGAAUGGCACAAAAAUAUUAAUUUAGCUACAUUAAAAUGGCAUCAGAGCAUCCUGUUUAUCUCCAUUAACACUGCUACUCCACAGUAUAAACACAUACAUUUCAGUUCUUUUUUCCUAUCAUAUGUUAAUGCAAAAAUCCAAUUACAUUUGCAGAGCACUGCCCUAUCUUUUCUUUUUUCUUUUUGUUUUUAGGGUAGAAGCAAUGAUGGAAGCUUGAUCUAUUGAUCUAUCUGUCAAUGACUUAAGGUCAUCUGAGGAGGUCCGUCUCCAGUUAACACUGGUUUGUCUGUUGGCAACUCAGAGUCAGGCCUUCUCCGUAGCUACUCCUGGGCUAUGGAAUGUACUCUCAGCAGAAAUCCACAAUUUGAGUUCAUUACUGUCUUUCAAGAGAGCCCUUAAAACCUAUCUGUUUGGCCUGGCCUUCCAGAGUUUUUAAACUGUUGUAAACAGUUUUAAAUGUUUGCCCUGGUUUUCCAGGGUUUUUAACUGUUUGAAUGUUUAAUUGGUUUUAUUCUGUUUUUAUAGUUUUGAUUUUAAUAGUUAACUGGUUCUAUUUUUAAAAAAAUUCUCUUGUAAACUGCCCUGAGGCAUUUUGGAAGGGUGGUAUAUAAAUUGAAUAAAUAAAUAAAUAAAUGACUGUCAAAUGAUGGCUAAAUUUUGUCAAAUAAUGGUAAAAGUUUAAAAGCAAUCUUUUUUUAUUCUUAGAAUAAUGCUUCUUAUUCUUAGAAUAACCACAAACAGAGAGUUAUGCUAAUGACUUUACUGAGCACUCUGCCAGGACACAAGGAGGUCCUUGUUCCAACAGCGAAUACAUUAGAUUUGGUAGUAAUCCUGACUAGGAGUGUGCAAGCCGGCUCGAUAUGAGCUGGGCUCAAUGGAUUCAGGGUUGAACCAGACCAGCCUCGGCCUAUCCGAGUUCUAACUGAACCAGGCUCGGUUCGAGCUGAGC